Molecule: non-coding RNA, 104 nt
Organism: Punctularia strigosozonata HHB-11173 SS5
Lineage: Eukaryota; Fungi; Basidiomycota; Agaricomycetes; Corticiales; Punctulariaceae
Source: the annotation of a RefSeq genome assembly
UCCGAUAUGGUGUAACGGCUAACAUUGCCGCCUUUCAGCGUGGGAAGUGCCCGAUAGGGGUCACGUGAUCGCGGCAGCUCGGGGUUCGACCCCCCGUAUCGGAG